RNAcentral lists this ribosomal RNA (446 nucleotides) under uncultured bacterium. RNAcentral describes it as "partial 16S ribosomal RNA". It matches the Rfam family "Bacterial small subunit ribosomal RNA", at positions 338 to 795 of the family's 1533-position model. The record is from RNAcentral.
CCUACGGGUGGCAGCAGUCGAGAAUCUUUGACAAUGGGCGCAACCCUGAUGCUGCGACGCCGCGUGGGGGAAUGAAGCUCUUCGGAUUGUAACUCCUUGUAAUGUGGAAGAACAUAAAAAGGAUAGUACCACAAGAGGCACAGCCGGCUAACUCUGUGCAAGCACCCGCAGUAAUAGAGAGGUCUCAAGCGUUGUUCGGAAUCGGGGGGCGUAAGGGGUGCGUAGGCUGGCUCGUAAGUCGUAUGUGAAAGGCGCGGGCUCAACCCACGGACUGCACAUGAUACUGUGGGACUAGAGUAAUGGAGGGGGAGGCGGAAUUCCCGGUGUAGCAGUGAAAUGCGUAGAUAUCGGGAGGAACACUAGUGGCGAAGGCGGGUUGCUGGACAUUAACUGACGGUGAGGCGCGAAGGCGAGGGGAGCAAAAGGGAUUAGAUACCCGAGUAGUC